RNAcentral lists this ribosomal RNA (253 nucleotides) under uncultured bacterium. RNAcentral describes it as "partial 16S ribosomal RNA". It matches the Rfam family "Bacterial small subunit ribosomal RNA", at positions 524 to 776 of the family's 1533-position model. The record is from RNAcentral.
UACGUAGGGCGCAAGCGUUGUCCGGAAUGAUUGGGCGUAAAGAGCUCGUAGGCGGCCUGGUACGUCUGCUGUGAAAUCCCGGGGCUUAACCCCGGGCGUGCAGUGGAUACGGGCAGGCUGGAGGCAGGCAGGGGAGAACGGAAUUCCCGGUGUAGCGGUGAAAUGCGCAGAUAUCAGGAGGAACACCGGUGGCGAAGGCGGGUCUCUGGGCCGUUACUGACGCUGAGGAGCGAAAGCGUGGGGAGCGAACAGG